GGGAAACUGGGUCUAAUACCGGAUAUGACUGAUCAUCGCAUGGUGGUUGGUGGAAAGCUUUUUGUGGUUUUGGAUGGACUCGCGGCCUAUCAGCUUGUUGGUGAGGUAAUGGCUUACCAAGGCGACGACGGGUAGCCGGCCUGAGAGGGUGACCGGCCACACUGGGWCUGAGACACGGCCCAGACUCCUACGGGAGGCAGCAGUGGGGAAUAUUGCACAAUGGGCGAAAGCCUGAUGCAGYGACGCCGCGUGAGGGAUGACAGGCCUUCGGGUUGUAAACCUCUUUCAGUAGGGAAGAAGCGAAAGUGACGGUACCUGCAGAAGAAGCGCCGGCUAACUACGUGCCAGCAGCCGCGGUAAUACGUAGGGCGCAAGCGUUAUCCGGAAUUAUUGGGCGUAAAGAGCUCGUAGGCGGUUUGUCGCGUCUGCCGUGAAAGUCCGGGGCUCAACUCCGGAUCUGCGGUGGGUACGGGCAGACUAGAGUGAUGUAGGGGAGACUGGAAUUUCUGGUGUAGCGGUGAAAUGCGCAGAUAUCAGGAGGAACACCGAUGGCGAAGGCAGGUCUCUGGGCAUUAACUGACGCUGAGGAGCGAAAGCAUGGGGAGCGAACAGGAUUAGAUACCCUGGUAGUCCAUGCCGUAAACGUUGGGCACUAGGUGUGGGGGACAUUCCACGUUUUCCGCGCCGUAGCUAACGCAUUAAGUGCCCCGCCUGGGGAGUACGGCCGCAAGGCUAAAACUCAAAGGAAUUGACGGGGGCCCGCACAAGCGGCGGAGCAUGCGGAUUAAUUCGAUGCAACGCGAAGAACCUUACCAAGGCUUGACAUGAACCGGAAAGACCUGGAAACAGGUGCCCCGCUUGCGGUCGGUUUACAGGUGGUGCAUGGUUGUCGUCAGCUCGUGUCGUGAGAUGUUGGGUUAAGUCCCGCAACGAGCGCAACCCUCGUUCUAUGUUGCCAGCACGUGAUGGUGGG
Molecule: ribosomal RNA, 973 nt
Filed under: uncultured bacterium
Lineage: Bacteria
Description: bacterial SSU rRNA
Rfam family: Bacterial small subunit ribosomal RNA
Source: RNAcentral